UUAUUAAUAAAGAUUGUGUUUGAAAUUGCAAUGUUUUCUUAUUAUAAACUGUAUUGUAUCCUAUCCAUGUAACAGAGAUGUAUUAUUAACAAUACUCAUCGCCUAGUGGAGCUUUGUGUGGCCAAGUUGUCCCAAGAUUGGUUUCCACUUCUAGAACUUCUCGCCAUGGCCUUAAAUCCUCAUUGCAAGUUUCAUAUCUACAAUGGUACACGUCCAUGUGAAUUAAUUUCCUCAAAUGCUCAGUUGCCUGAAGAUGAAUUAUUUGCUUGUUCUUCAGAUCCUCGAACACCAAAAGGUUGGCUAGUGGAUCUCAUCAAUAAAUUUGGCACAUUAAAUGGGUUCCAGAUUUUGCAUGAUCGUUUUUUUAAUGGAUCAGCAUUAAAUGUUCAAAUAAUUGCAGCUCUUAUUAAACCAUUUGGACAAUGCUAUGAGUUUCUCAGUCAACGUACAGUGAAAAAGUACUUCAUUCCAGUUAUAGAAAUAGUUCCACAUUU
RNAcentral lists this long non-coding RNA (494 nucleotides) under Rhinopithecus bieti (black snub-nosed monkey). RNAcentral's name for it is "lncRNA (ENSRBIG00000046354.1)". Lineage: Eukaryota; Metazoa; Chordata; Mammalia; Primates; Cercopithecidae. The record is from RNAcentral.